Molecule: ribosomal RNA, 243 nt
Filed under: uncultured bacterium
Lineage: Bacteria
Description: partial 16S ribosomal RNA
Rfam family: Bacterial small subunit ribosomal RNA
Source: RNAcentral
CGAACGUGGGUAACCUGCCUUAUAUGGGGGAUAGCCUUCGAAAGGAAGAUUAAUACCGCAUAAGAUUGUAGUAUCGCAUGAUAUAGCAAUUAAAGGAGCAAUUCGCUAUAAGAUGGACCCGCGUCGCAUUAGCUAGUUGGUGAGGUAAUGGCUCACCAAGGCGACGAUGCGUAGCCGACCUGAGAGGGUGAUCGGCCACAUUGGGACUGAGACACGGCCCAGACUCCUACGGGAGGCAGCAUG